UCGUUCCUACGGGGCGCAGCAGUGAGGAAUAUUGGUCAAUGGGCGAAAGCCUGAACCGGCCAUGCCGCGUGCAGGAAGACGGCUCUAUGAGUUGUAAACUGCUUUUGUACGAAGGUAAACACAGAUACGUGUAUCUGCUUGAAAGUAUCGUAUGAAUAAGGAUCGGCUAACUCCGUGCCAGCAGCCGCGGUAAUACGGAGGAUCCGAGCGUUAUCCGGAUUCAUUGGGUUUAAAGGGUGCGUAGGUUGUUUUAUAAGUUAGCGGUGAAAUACCGAUGCCCAACAUCGGGGCUGCCGCUAAUACUG
RNAcentral lists this ribosomal RNA (305 nucleotides) under uncultured bacterium. Its description in RNAcentral is "bacterial SSU rRNA". It matches the Rfam family "Bacterial small subunit ribosomal RNA", at positions 333 to 635 of the family's 1533-position model. The record is from RNAcentral.